This 254-nucleotide ribosomal RNA is filed under the name uncultured bacterium. RNAcentral describes it as "partial 16S ribosomal RNA". It matches the Rfam family "Bacterial small subunit ribosomal RNA", at positions 524 to 776 of the family's 1533-position model. The record is from RNAcentral.
UACGGGGGGAGCAAGCGUUGUUCGGAUUUAUUGGGCGUAAAGGGCGCGUAGGCGGUCGUGACAAGUCACUUGUGAAAUCUCCGGGCUUAACUCGGAACGGUCAAGUGAUACUGUCGGACUAGAGUACAGAAGGGGCAACUGGAAUUCUCGGUGUAGCGGUGAAAUGCGUAGAUAUCGAGAGGAACACCUGCGGCGAAGGCGGGUUGCUGGGCUGAUACUGACGCUGAGGCGCGAAAGCCAGGGGAGCGAACGGG